Molecule: ribosomal RNA, 486 nt
Filed under: uncultured bacterium
Lineage: Bacteria
Description: partial 16S ribosomal RNA
Rfam family: Bacterial small subunit ribosomal RNA
Source: RNAcentral
AUUGAACGCUGGCGGCAUGCCUUACACAUGCAAGUCGAACGGCAGCACGGGUGCUUGUACCUGGUGGCGAGUGGCGAACGGGUGAGUAAUACAUCGGAACAUGUCCUGUAGUGGGGGAUAGCCCGGCGAAAGCCGGAUUAAUACCGCAUACGAUCUACGGAUGAAAGCGGGGGACCUUCGGGCCUCGCGCUAUAGGGUUGGCCGAUGGCUGAUUAGCUAGUUGGUGGGGUAAAGGCCUACCAAGGCGACGAUCAGUAGUUGGUCUGAGAGGACGACCAGCCACACUGGGACUGAGACACGGCCCAGACUCCUACGGGAGGCAGCAGUGGGGAAUUUUGGACAAUGGGCGAAAGCCUGAUCCAGCAAUGCCGCGUGUGUGAAGAAGGCCUUCGGGUUGUAAAGCACUUUUGUCCGGAAAGAAAUCCUUGGCCCUAAUACGGUCGGGGGAUGACGGUACCGGAAGAAUAAGCACCGGCUAACUACGUG